GACGUAGGGGGCCAGCGUUGUUCGGAAUUACUGGGUGUAAAGGGUUCGUAGGCGGUGUGGCAAGUCGGGAGUGAAAUCUCUGGGCUCAACUCAGAGACUGCUUCCGAAACUGCUGUGCUGGAGUGUGGGAGAGGCGCGUGGAAUUGCAGGUGUAGCGGUGAAAUGCGUAGAUAUCAGGAGGAACACCGGUGGCGAAGGCGGUUCUCUGGGCCUUACCUGACGCUGAGGAGCGAAAGCGUGGGGAGCGAACAGG
This 253-nucleotide ribosomal RNA is filed under the name uncultured bacterium. RNAcentral describes it as "partial 16S ribosomal RNA". It matches the Rfam family "Bacterial small subunit ribosomal RNA", at positions 524 to 776 of the family's 1533-position model. The record is from RNAcentral.